CCUGUAUGUAUACACUUGUAUGUUUAAUAUCCAUCAGUUUUAUGAUUAUUUGAAUUGCUCGCCCUCCAAUUUCACCGGAAGUUGUCGACAGGUGUCCCGCUGACGGGAAGCCUAGCCCUAAGAAUUAAGAUAAUUCAUUUCAGGGAAGAGACUUGUAUACUGCCCUGACAAAUGAGGCCUAUGAGGAGUUCUGACACGCUGUGUCGAAACUUGAUAUGUUGCGCCGUCUGGCCCCAGAAACUGCCAAUGGAACCAAGUGCUCACUCUGUCCCAAGGUUGCCAUGGAUUUCAAGCGGGCAACGCCAUCAAGUCCAAACCCAAAACAACGAAAUUGGACGAGACAGGGGGUUUGGGUUGGGGGUUUCCUGCAAGCAUGAG
Oncorhynchus tshawytscha (Chinook salmon) is the source of this 378-nucleotide long non-coding RNA. The record is from Ensembl. NCBI's taxonomy places the organism in Eukaryota, Metazoa, Chordata, Actinopteri, Salmoniformes, Salmonidae.